This 826-nucleotide long non-coding RNA is filed under the name Marmota monax (woodchuck). Lineage: Eukaryota; Metazoa; Chordata; Mammalia; Rodentia; Sciuridae. The record is from RNAcentral.
CAACACUGGCUCACAGGUGACUGUAGAGCUUGGCCUCAGUCCCAGGGGAACUGGGGAAUCAGAAGGGGUUCAGAUAGGAGAGAAACAGGGUCAGUUUGGGCUGUAGGAGACCCCCCUGGCUGCCAUGUGGAGGGUGGACUAGAAAGUGGUAUCAGGCUGGGAGCCUGAGAGAGGCUGGAGCAGGGCAGGGAGGGGAGGAGGAGACAGGUCAUGGGACACGAGGCUGAGGGCCAAAUGGAAGGGAGAUGGCCAGGGUGAAGUCCAGGGCUCUGACUUGGAAAAGGGGGACAGUGGGGCCAACCCUGAGAUGGGAAUACAGGAGAAAACAGUUUGGGGAGAAUUCUGAGGCCACUGUGGGUCCUGGGGUGUGUGAUGGUCCCAGCGGAUGUCCAAGGGGAGAUGCUCUAUGUCUCCCUCAGAAAUAGGGUGCAGGGAAAAGGCUAAAGAAUCCAUGGAGGUCUGUGAGGAGCAUGGCAAGACAGCCAAGGAAUCUACACAGGGUCAGGAAGGGCCUGCUGUCCCCCAAAAGUUCUGCAGUGUAGGCGAGAAGGGGGGAACAUGCAGAGCUCAGAAGAAAGCCCUGAGGCAGACAAGGCUGUGAGGGCCCUUUUGCGGGGAGGGAAGCUUCUGCGCAGGAGUAACAGGAGCCGCUGGGGCACGUGGGCCUAGAUGCCCAACCAGACAGCCAUCUUGCGCUGCGGUCACGUGGUGGUCACGUGAUGUCCACUAUAGGGCCCAACGGUAGGUGCAAACCACCUGGAUUGGGGUCCAGGCCUAGAACUUUUUCAAGCUUCAGGUCCCUCAGUUCCCCCCAGCCCCUCCCCCA